AUACCUACCUGGCAGGGGAGAUACCGUGAUCAAGAACGGGGGUCACCCAGGGCAAGGCUCAGUCAUUACACUCUGGCUGUGUUGACCCCUGCAAAUUUCCCAAAUGUGGGAAUCUUGGCUGCAUAAUUUCUUGUAAUGGGGGACUGCCUUUU
The sequence is a small nuclear RNA, 152 nucleotides long. Its record names the gene U1. It matches the Rfam family "U1 spliceosomal RNA". From Rfam's summary of the family: U1 is a small nuclear RNA (snRNA) component of the spliceosome (involved in pre-mRNA splicing). Its 5' end forms complementary base pairs with the 5' splice junction, thus defining the 5' donor site of an intron. There are significant differences in sequence and secondary structure between metazoan and yeast U1 snRNAs, the latter being much longer (568 nucleotides as compared to 164 nucleotides in human). The record is from Ensembl.